RNAcentral lists this transfer RNA (66 nucleotides) under Grimpoteuthis sp. RNAcentral describes it as "tRNA-Arg". Lineage: Eukaryota; Metazoa; Mollusca; Cephalopoda; Octopoda; Grimpoteuthidae. The record is from RNAcentral.
UUAAUAGAAAUGAAAUUAUCAUUUAUGGUUUCGACCCAUAACUUUGGUGUUUAUCACCCUAUUCAG